AGUGCGAACCACUACACCACCGUGCAGCCUAACUUUUUGUUGUUUUGUUAUUUGUUUUUGUUUUUUUCAAAAGAGAAACUAACCGGAUGAAGAAGAAGUCCGCCCAGAGGCGCACGAAGGCCGGCAGCGGCCCCAGCGUCUCCAGCAGAUAAUCCCUUCCUUCAUCACCCUGUAAAGUCUCUCACCAAACAACGAGAGGACGCCGCACAGUGCCCACACCAGCAGGGAGAGCCCCACGCUCCCGCUGUUGAGCAGGACCCCCUUGGGCGCGAUGAAGAUGCCGCUGCCCACCACCGUCCCGAUGAUGAAGGACAUGCCCGACAGCAGGCCGAUCUCCCUCCGCAGCACCCUACACUAAAAAAAAGGAAAAGCGCUGGACGGGCGAUGCAUUCACUGUACCCCGACAUCAUGUGUGCUGUAUCUACCCUAAUCAGAGCACCGACCACAGCCACGGCAUCGGACAGCAGCAGCUCGGCAGGCAUCAUCAUGGUGUAGUAGGCCACGUUGACCAGCACGUACAGGACCGUCACUGUUACCAUGGAGAAGACUACUGCCAGCGGGAUG
Scophthalmus maximus (turbot) is the source of this 564-nucleotide long non-coding RNA. RefSeq lists it as uncharacterized. The transcript has 4 exons. The record is from RefSeq and is a predicted model, not a curated record. Lineage: Eukaryota; Metazoa; Chordata; Actinopteri; Pleuronectiformes; Scophthalmidae.